Myiozetetes cayanensis is the source of this 1266-nucleotide long non-coding RNA. RefSeq lists it as uncharacterized. The record is from RefSeq and is a predicted model, not a curated record. The transcript is spliced from 7 exons. NCBI's taxonomy places the organism in Eukaryota, Metazoa, Chordata, Aves, Passeriformes, Tyrannidae.
GUUUCACGAAUGAGCUCCAGCAGCUGGAGGAUGGAUGGCAUGCUGCUCAGACUGUCAGCUGCCCAAGGCAGUCUCUUAGAUGACAGUGAACUUGUAAAGAAAAUCAAAUCAAUAAAGUCAACUUCAGCAGAAAUACAACACAAGUGUCUGUAUACCCUGGGAAAAAUCAGGUAUCAGUUGUACUGGGAGGCAGAAGUGGCUCUGAAGCAAGUUUGAUGACCUUUUUAAAUUUUGUGUGCUGUCAAGAUUCUUCUAAGAAGUAAAGAAAUAGAAUCCCUUGAACUGGAUUUCCUUCUUCGAUUCAGAGUUGAACACAUGGAAACGGGAAUGAUUGUGCAGACUUGAACCAUUUAUCAAGGAACAUUUUUUUAUCAAAGAACAUCAAGGAACAUGUUUAGUGGAUGUUUUGCCAUAUAUAUAGGAACUCUGUGGAAGAAAAGCCUGGCUCAAGGUGUAUGGAAAGUGCAAGGAUGGAUUUAGCAAAAUGCUAAGUGAGCAAUCCAGCCACACUAUGUCUUUCAUUCUGGCUUCAAGAGUAGACCCACUUGAAGAUACUGAGACAUUAGGCAAAAAGCUUGGGUUCAUUAUAGACUGUAGACUCUAGAAGAUUUCAUAACAUCUCUCUUGGACAAAGGCAGGAAAUGGUUGCAAAUGAGGCACUCAAGAAGGCUGCCUGCCAUGGCCAUGGGGUUCUUUUCCAAGAUACCCUUGAGCUGUGUACCAGAGAACGGAAAUUUAAAAGCAUCCUUUGUCUUCUGUGCAAUUUUCACACUUGCGUUGCUGGGAGACUGAAGUUUGGCCCUCAGGGCUGGAAUGGAAGGGAGUGGUUCAGCACCAGAGAUCUCCACGUCUGUGUCACUGUCCUCUGCAACUAUUUGGAGGCCCACAUGAAGGUAAAAUCUUAUUUGAGAAGAAUAAAAUAUGGAAAUCAGCAUGUAACAUGUGAGCAGGCCAUUUGUGGAGCCUGGCUUACUUGGGGGAAGUGCACCUUCCACCCUGGUGACGGGCUGAAGCUGCCUUGUGGCUGGGAGCAAGAUGAGCAGGCUGAUGUCUCCUCGGUCCCUAACAAGCAGGUUUUCAUAUGUCAAAGAGCCACACUCAGAUGAAGGUUAAGAAUGUCCUGGAUGAUAUCCUGGAGAUGCUUCCUGAGAAGUUUAACAUAGCAGAAUUCAUGUAGAAGACUAUUGCCUGGAGACCCCAUGCUUUUGUUUGCCUUCAAGAGCGUAGGAGGAGGAAACCUCCUCCUUUCAGAGAUCUGUAGCCGGA